RNAcentral lists this long non-coding RNA (525 nucleotides) under Heterocephalus glaber (naked mole-rat). Its description in RNAcentral is "lncRNA (ENSHGLG00100034135.1)". The record is from RNAcentral. Lineage: Eukaryota; Metazoa; Chordata; Mammalia; Rodentia; Bathyergidae.
GGAAGGAAAACAGGAAGAGAAGGCGGGGCAGAUAGUGCUACGUGGAAUACGUGACCUACGUGUCCUACGUGUCCUACGUGACCUAGGCCGAAUGUAGUGAUUGUUUCUGAUUGGGGCAUGCGCAGGAAGGGAGCAGGGAAGGAUGCAAGCUCUGGAAAAAGGACCUUUGCUUGGAAUGUCCCAGCGCCCUAAGAACAGCAGCAGCACCGGAUGUAGUCUCUGCUUCCGGUUGUCAUCAGCCAAUGAGAGAAGGUUAAAGAGAACACUAGCGUUUUCCCACAGGAGAAUGCGAGGAAAUCAGAUGUGAGAGACUAGAAGUAACAGAUAAAGUCCAUCACGCAUCAAAUAUCUGCAGAAACUACUGUAGGUUGACAAGAUCAAGACAAAACAGAUCGAAUUCCCAGGGUGUGUUUCAGCUGUUGGGAAGCAACAUGGAGGGUCAGAUGAUCAUGAAGGCAGGAGCUGUGUUUUAUUUUCCAUGAAUUCUCUGUGCCGCCCAGUCAAUGUUUGCUGCAUUAAAUCCAG